Molecule: ribosomal RNA, 500 nt
Filed under: uncultured bacterium
Lineage: Bacteria
Description: bacterial SSU rRNA
Rfam family: Bacterial small subunit ribosomal RNA
Source: RNAcentral
AUUGAACGCUGGCGGCGUGCUUAACACAUGCAAGUCGAGCGGUAACAGGUGUAGCAAUACAUGCUGACGAGCGGCGAACGGGUGAGUAAUGCUUCGGAAUCUUCCUCGUAGUGGGGAAUAACCUGGGGAAACUCAGGCUAAUACCGCAUACGAACUACGGUUGAAAGCAGGGGAUCGCAAGACCUUGCGCUAUGAGAUGAGCCGAAGUCGGAUUAGCUAGUUGGUGAGGUAAAGGCUCACCAAGGCGACGAUCCGUAGCUGGUCUGAGAGGACGACCAGCCACACUGGGACUGAGACACGGCCCAGACUCCUACGGGAGGCAGCAGUGGGGAAUAUUGGACAAUGGGGGCAACCCUGAUCCAGCGACGCCGCGUGUGUGAAGAAGGCCUGCGGGUUGUAAAGCACUUUUAGUGGGGAUGAAAGCCAAGGGCCAAUACCCUUUGGUCUUGACCUAACCCAAGAAAAGCACCGGCUAACUCUGUGCCAGCAGCCGCGGUAAU